Molecule: ribosomal RNA, 589 nt
Filed under: uncultured Pseudomonas sp.
Lineage: Bacteria; Pseudomonadati; Pseudomonadota; Gammaproteobacteria; Pseudomonadales; Pseudomonadaceae
Description: bacterial SSU rRNA
Rfam family: Bacterial small subunit ribosomal RNA
Source: RNAcentral
ACUCCUACGGGAGGCAGCAGUGGGGAAUAUUGGACAAUGGGCGUAAGCCUGAUCCAGCCAUGCCGCGUGUGUGAAGAAGGUCUUCGGAUUGUAAAGCACUUUAAGUUGGGAGGAAGGGCAGUUACCUAAUACGUAUCUGUUUUGACGUUACCGACAGAAUAAGCACCGGCUAACUCUGUGCCAGCAGCCGCGGUAAUACAGAGGGUGCAAGCGUUAAUCGGAAUUACUGGGCGUAAAGCGCGCGUAGGUGGUUUGUUAAGUUGGAUGUGAAAUCCCCGGGCUCAACCUGGGAACUGCAUUCAAAACUGACAAGCUAGAGUAUGGUAGAGGGUGGUGGAAUUUCCUGUGUAGCGGUGAAAUGCGUAGAUAUAGGAAGGAACACCAGUGGCGAAGGCGACCACCUGGACUGAUACUGACACUGAGGUGCGAAAGCGUGGGGAGCAAACAGGAUUAAUACCCUGGUAGUCCACGCCGUAAACGAUGUCAACUAGCCGUUGGGAGCCUUGAGCUCUUAGUGGCGCAGCUAACGCAUUAAGUUGACCGCCUGGGGAGUACGGCCGCAAGGUUAAAACUUAAAUGAAUUGACGGA